Melitaea cinxia (Glanville fritillary) is the source of this 221-nucleotide long non-coding RNA. RefSeq lists it as uncharacterized. NCBI's taxonomy places the organism in Eukaryota, Metazoa, Arthropoda, Insecta, Lepidoptera, Nymphalidae. The transcript has 2 exons. The record is from RefSeq and is a predicted model, not a curated record.
CAGCCAUCCACGUCUCAUGCUGCAAUGCCAUCACAAUCUGUAACAAAUGAAACUGAAACAUAAAGGAAACCGAGGCUGGUGCAGAGCGCGCACCGCCCCGCAGAAUGGCCGUGUCGACGCAAAAACACUCAACAUUAUCUUUUAUAUUAGAUUUUAAGGUUUAUUACUUAUGUCUACUUAAUAAUGAUAAUUGAUUAUAACCUAUGUUAUUACCAAUGAAA